CUGUCAAGUUGAGGCCUGAAAC
This 22-nucleotide non-coding RNA is filed under the name Arabidopsis thaliana (thale cress). Lineage: Eukaryota; Viridiplantae; Streptophyta; Magnoliopsida; Brassicales; Brassicaceae. The record is from RNAcentral.